Molecule: long non-coding RNA, 506 nt
Filed under: Ursus maritimus (polar bear)
Lineage: Eukaryota; Metazoa; Chordata; Mammalia; Carnivora; Ursidae
Description: lncRNA (ENSUMAG00000017701.1)
Source: RNAcentral
UUCCGUGGCCAUAGCCAUUUUGUAGUCGGGGGACUACAACUUCCAGAAGAUCAAGGGGACCAUUCUAAGGUGCCCCGGGAAUAGGCGGCUCUCCCCGGGGCCGCGCGUCCUGGGGCACUGGUAUCCAGCAGCCCGGCUGCAGGUAGACGCAAGGGCAGCGGCAGGGGCUGGCGUGUGGCGGCUGUGGGGCGAAUCGGGCUUUGGGGGAAGAGGAAGAAAAGUCGGAUUACAAGAUCAACCACCACCAACAACAAUAAAAACCACCAGGAUAUUUUUUUGCAAAUUUCUGACGGCUUUAAAUUCAUGAAGCAAUUGUCCCCUUUUGCAAUCAGCAUUUGGAUCUCAGAAUGAGCAAGGAAAGACCCAAGAGGAAUAUCAUUCAGAAGAAAUACGAGGUAACCUCUGAUACCUGCCUCCCUCCUGACCCCCCAAGGUCUCAGGUUUGCAGAAGGAGGGCUACUGCACGGAUGCUCAUUCUGCGAAGCGGCGGUCGGGUGCAGACAUGA